Molecule: unclassified non-coding RNA, 1180 nt
Organism: Drosophila navojoa
Lineage: Eukaryota; Metazoa; Arthropoda; Insecta; Diptera; Drosophilidae
Source: RefSeq, a predicted model, not a curated record
UUGCCAAUGCUCAAGUCGGUCACGCUUUCAGUAUCAUUUUGUCGGCUGUGAACUGUGAAGGAAAUUUGUAGCGCCGCGCGCAGUGCAUUUUUUUCUGCAACAAACAACAACAAUAUUCUAGUCAAAGAGUAAGCGGUAAACGGCAAGCAUAUUACAUAACAACCGCUACACAGCUGAGCGCGUCAACAACAGCUACAAAGAAGAAAGAGAGAGCGAGAGAGAGAGAGAUUAAUAUAAAACAGUCUGCAAAGAAGAAGCGACAAAGCGACCGCCAAUAUAUUUGAUACUAACUGCUAAAAGAAAGAAAGAGAAGGAAACGAAAAGGCUUUAAGCGCAACUCUUUGCGUUCCAGUCUACGACGAGAGCCUGUAAAAGCUCUCGCCAGGCAUUAAAGUACACUCAUUGACACAUAAACACACAGACACACUCUCACAUACAGUUUCCAGCACCCGCUCGCCCACUAACACCACAGCCAAAGCAGACAAGAGAAUUUAAGCAGAAACAACAAAAAGAGAAUAAAUUAGAACAGCAGCUGGCAGCUGAGAGCGCUGAGCGCCAAACGCCCAAGACACACACAUAGACAGAUAGAGAGUGAGAGAGUAGAAGACUCUCUGAUCUCGUAGAUCGAGAUAUACGUGCGAACGAGAGAGAACGAAAAACAAUCUUCAAGUCUUGUACAAAAGAACGACGCACUGAGAGUAUUUUGCAAAAAAUACUCGUGCACACACACUCUCAGGAUAUGUACGGCAACAAUAAUCCGGGUAGUAACAAUAAUAACGGUGGUUAUCCUCCAUACGGUUACAACAAGUCGAGCAGCCAAGCAACAGCAGCCUUAACAACCGAUCUCAACAAGAACAGCGAAAACAACGACAGAUACAAACGCAUCGAUUGUAUUUAGUGUGGUUGCUUUUCGCUCCACUUCAUUAUUAUUACGAUUAUUUUUAAUAUUACUAUUACUAUUGUUUGAAACAAAGAAUAUAUAUAAAUACAUAUAUAUAUUAUAACACAUAUAUAUAUAUAUAUAAAAUAAAACUGGUGUGAUAAAUCUCUGUGAAGUACCCAAACAACAAAAUGUUCCUUAAACGAAGACGCCGUCAACGCCUCGGUGGACGUGUAUUUGGCAUGUCUCAUUCACUGCCAUCGGGAAUGGUAUGUAUUUUCUUCUUUGCUUCUAAAUUUU